Long non-coding RNA from Homo sapiens (human), 1067 nucleotides. RefSeq lists it as uncharacterized. Lineage: Eukaryota; Metazoa; Chordata; Mammalia; Primates; Hominidae. The record is from RefSeq and is a predicted model, not a curated record. The transcript is spliced from 2 exons.
AGAAGGCAUCCGCCAGCUGACAGUGAUGCCCCCGCGAGCGGUCAGGCCACACACACCCCAGGAUAUAGUCGCUUGCUGGCGACUGGGGUACCACUGGAUGGAGUCAAGGACAUAUCAAGGUGUUGUUACAACAUGGCCCAGCCCUAGCUGCCAUCUCCGCCAAAAAAGGAGGGGCCCAUGAACCCCUGAAAUGAAAUCCAAAACCUCGUGGGAGAUGCUUUCUUCUAGGGAGAUCUCCAUGUUUGAAAAGAGACAACUCCCCAAAAAUGGAAGAUUCACGAGGCUGAAUACAAAAUGUGAGACCUCUUCCUACCCAACAAACGGUCGACACUGACAACCCAUCAACACUGACAACCUGCCAACCUGAGGAAUGGCAGCACCCAGGGAAAGGGGCGGCCCCAACGCUGCUGUGUGAGUGGACACUGCAGGGAGAGUGGCGGCACCUGCAAAGACAGAAGACUCGAGGACCCUCCUCGGCAGCCCCACUGCCAGGGACACACCCUAAAGAAACUCUCACACCUGCGCCCCAGACGCAUUCAGGGCCCGGGCCGUGACGGUGCUGGCCACAGUGUGCUGAGUGACAAUGGAACACAGGAGACAACCUAGAUUUCCAUUGGGAUGGGGGCACGCAGGACAGUGUUCACACUACAGGUCGCCACGCAGCAGCCUGCGAUCAAACACAUCGACGAGCACAGGUGUCAACAAGACUGUUGAGUGAAAAGUACAAGUUCCAGGUUUUUUAUGUAAAGUUAAGAAAAACACCCACACAAAACAAUCCUAUAUAUUAGUUAUGGAUACUUAUAUCCAUGUGUAAAUGUACCCGAAAGAGCCUGGGAGGAAAAAUACAAAAGCAGUAGUUGGAAGGAAAUGGGUUACUUAAUAUUUCUUUGUAAUACUUCUUAUAAUUUUUUUAAAAAAGGACUUAAAGCCAAAAUGACAAAAGAGUAACCAUUUUCAAUUCUGUGUAGAAGAGAUACUGUGUUCAUUUUAUUAUUUCUGGGAUUUUUCUGGAUUUUUAAAGUUUAUCCAAUAUAAAAAAAAUAAAAACUGCACUGUUGGCUGGGCCA